This is a non-coding RNA of Ailuropoda melanoleuca (giant panda), 72 nucleotides long. NCBI's taxonomy places the organism in Eukaryota, Metazoa, Chordata, Mammalia, Carnivora, Ursidae. The record is from Rfam.
ACCUGGCUGCUCAGUCUGAAGAGCAUGAGACUCUUAAUCUCAGGGUCAUGAGUUCAAGCCCCAUGCUGGGUA